CCUACGGGUGGCAGCAGUGGGGAAUAUUGCACAAUGGGGGAAACCCUGAUGCAGCGACGCCGCGUGAGUGAAGAAGUAUUUCGGUAUGUAAAGCUCUAUCAGCAGGGAAGAAAUAAAGUCCUUCGGACUUUGGACGGUACCUGACUAAGAAGCCCCGGCUAACUACGUGCCAGCAGCCGCGGUAAUACGUAGGGGGCACGCGUUAUCCGGAUUUACUGGGUGUAAAGGGAGCGUAGACGGCAGCGCAAGUCUGGAGUGAAAUCCCAUGGCUUAACCAUGGAACUGCUUUGGAAACUGGGCAGCUGGAGUGCAGGAGAGGUAAGCGGAAGUCGUGGUGUAGCGGUGAAAUGCAUAGAUAUCACGAGGAACCCCGAUUGCGAAGGCAGCCUGCCGGGGUGCGACUGACGCUGAGGCUCGAAGGUGCGGGUAUCAAACAGGAUUAGAUACCCUGGUAGUC
RNAcentral lists this ribosomal RNA (457 nucleotides) under uncultured bacterium. RNAcentral describes it as "partial 16S ribosomal RNA". It matches the Rfam family "Bacterial small subunit ribosomal RNA", at positions 338 to 795 of the family's 1533-position model. The record is from RNAcentral.